CCUACGGGUGGCUGCAGUGGGGAAUAUUGGACAAUGGGCGAAAGCCUGAUCCAGCCAUGCCGCGUGUGUGAAGAAGGCCUUCGGGUUGUAAAGCACUUUCAGUGGGGAAGAAAGCCUUGGGGCUAAUACCCUCGAGGAAGGACAUCACCCACAGAAGAAGCACCGGCUAACUCCGUGCCAGCAGCCGCGGUAAUACGGAGGGUGCGAGCGUUAAUCGGAAUUACUGGGCGUAAAGCGCGCGUAGGCGGUCUGAUAAGCCGGUUGUGAAAGCCCCGGGCUCAACCUGGGAACGGCAUCCGGAACUGUCAGGCUAGAGUGCAGGAGAGGAAGGCAGAAUUCCCGGUGUAGCGGUGAAAUGCGUAGAGAUCGGGAGGAAUACCAGUGGCGAAGGCGGCCUUCUGGACUGACACUGACGCUGAGGUGCGAAAGCGUGGGUAGCAAACAGGAUUAGAUCCCUUGUAGUC
RNAcentral lists this ribosomal RNA (464 nucleotides) under Vreelandella stevensii. RNAcentral describes it as "partial 16S ribosomal RNA". It matches the Rfam family "Bacterial small subunit ribosomal RNA", at positions 338 to 795 of the family's 1533-position model. Lineage: Bacteria; Pseudomonadati; Pseudomonadota; Gammaproteobacteria; Oceanospirillales; Halomonadaceae. The record is from RNAcentral.